UUUAUAGCAAAAUUAAAGUUUGGGACUUGCAAGCUGCUCUUGACCCUCGUGCCCCAGCAAGUACAUUAUGCUUGCGUACGUUAGUGGAACAUUCAGGACGUGUCUUUAGACUCCAGUUUGAUGAAUUUCAGAUCAUUAGUAGUUCCCAUGACGAUACAAUUCUGAUUUGGGAUUUCUUAAACGUGCCACCCAGUGCCCAGAAUGAGACCCGCUCUCCAUCUAGAACAUACACUUACAUCUCCAGAUAACAGUCUGCACUUUACUACCCUCGGAGGGGUUUCACAGUCUUGAACUACUGGAUUUUUGGCUACUACAUGCCUGAAGAUGUUGAUUGACAGCUAAAGUCAGAAUUGGUUCUAGAUGCUGUGUAGAUGCAAAGCAGCACAAUUCUAUAUUUAAAUUUCUUAAUCUUUCCUGCUCUCAGUGGUCGUCUUUGAAUUUACUACAAAUUCACUGACUUCGAGUAGAUGAAUUUCAGAAGCCUAUCCUUCCCUGCAAUGAGAAAUCCAAAGCUUCACAUGUAAAUUGUCCGUAGAAACUGAACUCUGAUGGCUUGUUUUUCAGAAAUAAAUCAGAAGUCAAGAAAGGACUUGGCCUAAUUUAUAUUGCUUUGCACUUUUGUCUGACUUUAAAGAAAAAACAUUCUCCAAUGAAAUUUGGGUGCCAAACACAUACCCAGAAUGUACAGAGCUUUGCUUUCAAAGUCACCAUUGUCCUUUAGACUUUACUCUCAUGACAGAUUCAGAGCCUGUUUUGUUUGAUAGGAGUGUACGUUGGACUCUUAGAAAUAUUUCUGAAUUGCUCAGUAAUAUUUUUGGAUUACAGUUUACUUGUUUCUGCACCAAUAAUUUCUUUUAAAUUAAAGAUUACCUGUAAUUCAGGCUAGGUUAUCUAAACUAGUUGUAUAGCACUGUCUUUUCCUUUUAACUGUGCUCUGUACUACAGCCGUCCUACGCUUCCUAAUGUUUGGUAUAGUAAAACCUUUCCAUGUGUGCUUGCCUCAUUUCAAAUACUGUAUAAGCAUGUAGAUAUAAUGUACAUAACAGUGUAACUCCGGGUGCUAGGAGUCAGGAUUUCCUGACACUACACACUAAUACAAAAUGUGGUAGCACUUGGCAGCAGGAUGUUCUAACUACUGGCACUGUAGGGGUUAAUACGAGUUACUUAGACAUUUUCUCUGCAAAAGGAGGUUUUCAGUAUUCAUUAGGAUUUUUUUAAUGGGAACUACAUAUUUUAAAAUGUAAUUUCUGAACUUUUUAAAAAUUAAAAAAUGUUUAAUUUAUGUUCUGUAUCUUAUAUUUUUGUGCCGCAGUAUUUACAGACGUUUCUUUUAACACCAGUAGGUCCUCACAAACGCCUGCUGAUGUCUUUCCUUAGCAUUAGUUUGGCUGCUCAAUGGAGAAGAUGCCAUGGGCCAAAGUUAAAUUUAUUUAUGUUUGAUUUGUAACACUUCCUUACGGUGGAGUGGAGGUCCCUUCAAGUCAAUGCUCUGGUUACCAUGCUGAUUACCAUGCUAAUUACCGUGCUAGUUUUCUUUUCCGUAGCUAUCAGCUGUGACCAUGUUGCGAUGGUCCUGGUCAUGGUUCCUCUUCGUUAGCAUGCUUUCAUUAGGAAGUCUCAAUAGUUUCUUUUUAUGUUGUCAUAGUCUCCCUUCUAAUUUAUGUGGUCAUAUAAACGCUACUGCAUUUUUCUUCUGUCAGAAUAAGACAUGGAUAAAUGCAAACAUGAAUAUUUUAUCUGCAUUAGCCAUGUGUGACUACGCCUGUCGGUGGCUUUUCUUUAAUGCUUUAGAGCUCAGCGUGAAAUCUGCCUGUUUUCCUGGGGAAGAUGCUUGUUGGCACAGAAAUGUAUUGUCAUUCCUUUGAUCGUUUGUACGCCGUAUGUUUUUGUCCUCUGGCAGCACUUUCUUGGGUUUGCAUUUUUCCCUUUUACAAUCAGAAGAGUUAGGGGAUGUCCGACUGCUGAGGGAUCGCUCCUGCGUUACUGCGGAAUGGCCACAGUUAGACGCAUCGUUUCUGUGUCAAGCGAAUUCAGAGAAAGCGUACGUCAAGGCGUUACCGAACCGUUACAGAAGCGCGGCUUAAGGUUUUCUCCUCUUCACCCUUCACAUUGAGAGAGGUGUUGGGAUCAGUGUUUAAGUUAAACUCCCAUUUACGUGUUACUACAACAAUAUUUAUUUCAUCGAGAUGACCGAAUGUGAAGAAGUACAGAAGAUGAAAAACACGCUCCUAAGCGUCCAUAAGAUCGCUUUUUGGUAAGCUUGACAGUAGUUCGUGAAAGUGUCUUACUUUACCCUUCUCAUCUAAUAGCUUUAAUAUUAAACUGUUUAAAAAGGAAAAUCUGUCGCAGCCCUGAAGAAAAAGGUAUUUGUUUCCGAAGAACGGAGUCCUUUUUUAAAAAUGCAUGUGUAAGAUUUAAAUUCAUGUUUUUCCUUGGGAGAUAAUGGUAUUUGAACAUGCAGUCUAAACUUCUUUGUGCUUUGUGUAACAUAGCAGUGGACUUUUGUGAUUGGCACCCAAGGAACUUGACUCCUGGGAUUAAUGGUAGUGAUCCUGGCUGCACUCUGGACUUGUUUUGCUAACCAUAAUUGAGCAACUGUACAUUACUGCUAUAUUAAUGUUUCAAAGCACUGGGAUAGUCUAAUUCUAACUUGUAAUUAUGUUUGCCAAUUAUCUGUUUGGAAAGUUGGUGUAUGAACAGCUUCUUGAAACUGUUAAAUUGUACAGAUAUCGUUCAUGAUCUAAAGCUUUGUACUGUGGAAUGUGCUUAAUAAAAAAAAAGUUUGAACU
Fulmarus glacialis (Northern fulmar) is the source of this 2789-nucleotide long non-coding RNA. RefSeq lists it as uncharacterized. NCBI's taxonomy places the organism in Eukaryota, Metazoa, Chordata, Aves, Procellariiformes, Procellariidae. The transcript has 3 exons. The record is from RefSeq and is a predicted model, not a curated record.